This 146-nucleotide ribosomal RNA is filed under the name Oenococcus oeni. RNAcentral's name for it is "partial 23S ribosomal RNA". It matches the Rfam family "Bacterial large subunit ribosomal RNA", at positions 1 to 151 of the family's 2925-position model. The record is from RNAcentral. Lineage: Bacteria; Bacillati; Bacillota; Bacilli; Lactobacillales; Lactobacillaceae.
GAUAGGUUAAGUUAAUAAGGGCGCAUGGUGGAUGCCUUGGCACUAGAAGGCGAUGAAGGACGUGACUAACUACGAUAUGCCUCGGUUAGCUGUAAGUAAGCUUACCCGGGGGUUUCCGAAUGGGGCAACCCGAUCUUAAUGAUCAU